RNA transcript from Suncus etruscus (white-toothed pygmy shrew), 934 nucleotides. It is a transcript of the gene named COMM domain containing 7, with no coding region annotated. NCBI's taxonomy places the organism in Eukaryota, Metazoa, Chordata, Mammalia, Eulipotyphla, Soricidae. The record is from RefSeq and is a predicted model, not a curated record. The transcript is spliced from 10 exons.
CACGACGCGAUGGGCCGCCUGCACUUCACGCAGGACCCGGUGCCCGAGGCCGUGGGCGGCGACCUGCAGCAGCUGAACCAGAUGGGCGCGCAGCAGUUCGCAGCCCUGACGGAAGUGCUUUUCCACUUCCUAACUGAGCCCAAAGAGGUGGAACGGUUCCUGGCUCAGCUCUCCGAGUUUGCCACCACCCAUCAGAUGAGCCUCAGCCCCCUCAAGAGCAUCGUGAAAAGCCUCCUCCUGGUUCCCAACGGGGCCUUGAAGAAGAGUCUUUCAGCUGAGCAGGUUCAGGCUGACUUGCUUACUCUAGGUCUGAGUGAGGAGAAAGCUACUUACUUUGCGGAAAAGUGGAAGCAGAAUGCCCCCACCCUUGCACAUCGGGCCAUGGGUCAGACUCUGAUGAUUAACCAGCUUAUUGAUAUGGAGUGGAAGUUUGGAGUGACCACCGGGAGCAGCGAGUUGGAGAAAGUGGGAAGUAUUUUUUUACAACUUAAGUUGGUGAUUAAGAAAGGGAAGCGUACCGAGAAUGUGUAUAUAGAGCUCACCUUGCCUCAGUUCUACAGCUUCCUGCACGAGAUGGAGAGAGUACAAGCAAGCAUGGCGUGCUUCAGCUGAUUCCUGUCCCCUCUCCAUGCCUCCUCCCAGCCUCUGCAGUGCUUCAGAGUCCAACCUGCUUCCCACAAACUCUGGUUUGGAGCUACUACUUCCUGCCACUCACUCAGACAUUUGUUAUAUGGUCUAGUGGCUCUUGUGCCUCUUGGAGUCCAUGGAGGAAACGUGAUGAGGCCUUGAGUCCUUGCCCAUCUCAGUCCCUGUUCCUCAGAAGUUGGGGCUGGUUGAUGCUGCCUCUUGAGGGAGCCUCAGGCCUCUUUCUGAACUUUCCAGGAGGGCAGGGUGUGUGUGUGCUUGACUGGGCAGGCUUUUUUGCUUUUGUUUU